GUUUGUUUGGAGUUAUAAAGAAUUUAACCUGCCCCCUGAUUAAUUAUUAAAGGGCCGCAGUAUUAUAACUGUGCAAAGGUAGCAUAAUCAUUAGGUUUUUAAUUGAAAUCUCGUAUGAAUGGUUGGACAAAAGAAAAACUCUCUUUAUAUUAAGUUUUGAAUUUAACUUUUAAGUGAAAAGGCUUAAAUGUCCUAAAGGGACGAUAAGACCCUAUAAAACUUUACAUUGUCAUUAAUUUUGAUUGAAUUUAUGAAAUAAGAAUUUUAUUUGGUUAUUUGUUAUGUUGGGGAGAUAUAAGUAAAAUAUUUUUUUAACUGCUUUGAUAAUUAUACAAUUAUAAAUGGUAAGUAGAAGAUCCUUUUUUAAGAUUAAUAGAUUAAGUUACUUUAGGGAUAACAGUGUGAUUUCUUUUGAGAGUUCUUAUCGAAAAAGAAGAUUGCAACCUCGAUGUUGAAUUAAAAUAUCUAUAUAAUGGAGAGGUUAUAUAAGAAGGUCUGUUCGACCUUGAAAUUUUUACAUGAUUUGAGUUCAAACCGGUGUAAG
Molecule: ribosomal RNA, 544 nt
Filed under: Longpotamon depressum shangchengense
Lineage: Eukaryota; Metazoa; Arthropoda; Malacostraca; Decapoda; Potamidae
Description: partial 16S ribosomal RNA
Rfam family: Bacterial large subunit ribosomal RNA
Source: RNAcentral